GAUGAACGCUAGCGGCAGGCUUAACACAUGCAAGUCGAGGGGCAGCAUAGUCUUCGGACUGAUGGCGACCGGCGCACGGGUGCGUAACGCGUAUGAAACCUACCUAAUACAGGGGGAUAGCCCAGAGAAAUUUGGAUUAAUACCCCAUGGUACUGUUUUACUGCAUGGUAAAAUAGUUAAAGAUUUAUCGGUAUUAGAUGGUCAUGCGUCCUAUUAGUUAGUUGGUAAGGUAACGGCUUACCAAGACAUCGAUAGGUAGGGGCCCUGAGAGGGGGAUCCCCCACACUGGUACUGAGACACGGACCAGACUCCUACGGGAGGCAGCAGUGAGGAAUAUUGGACAAUGGUGGGAACACUGAUCCAGCCAUGCCGCGUGCAGGAAGACUGCCCUAUGGGUUGUAAACUGCUUUUAUAGAGGAAGAAAUAUAGAUACGUGUAUUUAUUUGACGGUACUCUACGAAUAAGGAUCGGCUAACUCCG
Molecule: ribosomal RNA, 480 nt
Filed under: uncultured Kordia sp.
Lineage: Bacteria; Pseudomonadati; Bacteroidota; Flavobacteriia; Flavobacteriales; Flavobacteriaceae
Description: bacterial SSU rRNA
Rfam family: Bacterial small subunit ribosomal RNA
Source: RNAcentral